GCCGUGAUAGAUCAGUUGGUUAGAUCGCCAGUUUGUGGCACUGGAGGCCGGUGGUUCGAACCCACCUCACGGUACCA
This 77-nucleotide transfer RNA is filed under the name Pseudomonadota bacterium. Its description in RNAcentral is "Proteobacteria bacterium tRNA-His". It matches the Rfam family "tRNA". Rfam says of the family: Transfer RNA (tRNA) molecules are approximately 80 nucleotides in length. Their secondary structure includes four short double-helical elements and three loops (D, anti-codon, and T loops). The record is from RNAcentral. Lineage: Bacteria; Pseudomonadati; Pseudomonadota. RNAcentral also lists the same sequence under 1 other name.